This 497-nucleotide ribosomal RNA is filed under the name uncultured bacterium. RNAcentral describes it as "partial 16S ribosomal RNA". It matches the Rfam family "Bacterial small subunit ribosomal RNA", at positions 28 to 507 of the family's 1533-position model. The record is from RNAcentral.
GGUGAACGCUGGCGGCGUGCCUAAUACAUGCAAGUCGAGCGAACAGAUGAGGAGCUUGCUCCUCUGACGUUAGCGGCGGACGGGUGAGUAACACGUGGAUAACCUACCUAUAAGACUGGGAUAACUUCGGGAAACCGGAGCUAAUACCGGAUAAUAUAUUGAACCGCAUGGUUCAAUAGUGAAAGACGGUUUUGCUGUCACUUAUAGAUGGAUCCGCGCCGCAUUAGCUAGUUGGUAAGGUAACGGCUUACCGAGGCAACGAUGCGUAGCCGACCUGAGAGGGUGAUCGGCCACACUGGAACUGAGACACGGUCCAGACUCCUACGGGAGGCAGCAGUAGGGAAUCUUCCGCAAUGGGCGAAAGCCUGACGGAGCAACGCCGCGUGAGUGAUGAAGGUCUUCGGAUCGUAAAACUCUGUUAUUAGGGAAGAACAAAUGUGUAAGUAACUAUGCACGUCUUGACGGUACCUAAUCAGAAAGCCACGGCUAACUACGUG